UAGGGAAUCUUCGGCAAUGGGGGGAACCCUGACCGAGCAGCGCCGCGUGAGUGAAGAAGGUUUUCGGAUCGUAAAGCUCUGUUGUUAAGGAAGAACGAGUGUGAGAAUGGAAAGUUCAUGCUGUGACGGUACUUAACCAGAAAGGGACGGCUAACUACGUGCCAGCAGCCGCGGUAAUACGUAGGUCCCGAGCGUUGUCCGGAUUUAUUGGGCGUAAAGCGAGCGCAGGCGGUUAGAAAAGUCUGAAGUGAAAGGCAGUGGCUCAACCAUUGUAGGCUUUGGAAACUGUUUAACUUGAGUGCAGAAGGGGAGAGUGGAAUUCCAUGUGUAGCGGUGAAAUGCGUAGAUAUAUGGAGGAACACCGGUGGCGAAAGCGGCUCUCUGGUCUGUAACUGACGCUGAGGUUCGAAAGCGUGGGUAGCAAACAGG
RNAcentral lists this ribosomal RNA (429 nucleotides) under Bacteroidota bacterium. RNAcentral describes it as "Bacteroidetes bacterium partial 16S ribosomal RNA". It matches the Rfam family "Bacterial small subunit ribosomal RNA", at positions 355 to 776 of the family's 1533-position model. The record is from RNAcentral. Lineage: Bacteria; Pseudomonadati; Bacteroidota.